CCUACGGGUGGCAGCAGUAGGGAAUAUUGCACAAUGGGCGAAAGCCUGAUGCAGCAACGCCGCGUGCGCGAUGAAGGCCUUCGGGUCGUAAAGCGCUUUUCGGGGAGAUGAGGAAGGACAGUAUCCCCGGAAUAAGGAUCGGCUAACUACGUGCCAGCAGCCGCGGUAAAACGUAGGAUCCGAGCGUUAUCCGAAUUUACUGGGCGUAAAGCGCGUGCAGGCGGUUCGGUAAGUUGGGUGUGAAAUCUCCCGGCUCAACUGGGAGAGGUCGCUCAAUACUGUCGGACUAGAGGAUGGUAGAGGGAGGUGGAAUUCCCGGUGUAGGGGUGAAAGGCGUAGAUAUCGGGAGGAACACCAGUGGCGAAGGCGGCCUCCGGGACCA
RNAcentral lists this ribosomal RNA (382 nucleotides) under uncultured Anaerolineae bacterium. RNAcentral describes it as "partial 16S ribosomal RNA". It matches the Rfam family "Bacterial small subunit ribosomal RNA", at positions 338 to 736 of the family's 1533-position model. Lineage: Bacteria; Bacillati; Chloroflexota; Anaerolineae. The record is from RNAcentral.